RNAcentral lists this transfer RNA (85 nucleotides) under Candidatus Harrisonbacteria bacterium CG10_big_fil_rev_8_21_14_0_10_40_38. RNAcentral describes it as "tRNA-Leu". It matches the Rfam family "tRNA". From Rfam's summary of the family: Transfer RNA (tRNA) molecules are approximately 80 nucleotides in length. Their secondary structure includes four short double-helical elements and three loops (D, anti-codon, and T loops). Lineage: Bacteria; Candidatus Harrisoniibacteriota. The record is from RNAcentral.
GCGCGGGUGGCGAAAUUGGCAGACGCACUACCUUGAGGUGGUAGCGCCGCAAGGCGUGGAGGUUCGAGUCCUCUCCCGCGCACUA